CAGCACCCCGAGUGGUCGGGACGAUUAUUGGGCCUAAAGCAUCCGUAGCCGGUUCUACAAGUCUUCCGUUAAAUCCACCUGCUUAACAGAUGGGCCGCGGAGGAUACUAUAAGACUAGGAGGCAGGAGAGGCAAGCGGUACUCAGUGGGUAGGGGUAAAAUCCGUUGAUCCAUUGAAGACCACCAGUGGCGAAGGCGGCUUGCCAGAAUGCGCUCGACGGUGAGGGAUGAAAGCUGGGGGAGCAAACCGGAUUAGAGACCCGAGUAGUCC
Molecule: ribosomal RNA, 270 nt
Filed under: uncultured archaeon
Lineage: Archaea
Description: partial 16S ribosomal RNA
Rfam family: Archaeal small subunit ribosomal RNA
Source: RNAcentral